UGUAGCUACAAAUAUCUUCGCUUUCCUCCUCCCUCUCAACACCUCUCCAGUACUCCCCUUCGUGCCGCCGCCCUCCCCGUCCUCUCCGUCCCCUGUGCAGCGCUCCGUUCUCGCGCUCGCCCACCGAUCGACCGCCUCCGGCGCGUCGCCAGGUCCCUCGCACCGCUCCAACGUCCGGCCCGUUGCUUCCCCUCGCCGUCUCCUGCGUAAAGCGACGCUCUCGCGCUCGCCCGCCGACCGCCUGCCUCCGCCACGCCGCCGGGUCCCUCGCGCCGCUCGAGCGCCUGGGUUCUUCAACGCCGGCUUCAGAUCCAGGGUCAGAUCAAAACUGGAGCUCCCUGCCGAUCUGAGCAUCUUGCCAAGUACAAUCAGGCAAGUGAUUCUUAUGUGGUGUAUUGCAAUAUAAAACCUAUUUUUGUGGCUCUCCUCUCUCUCUCUCUCUCUCUCUCUCUCUCUCUCUGCAAUGAUGGCCAUUGUUUCAUCUCCAACUACAGCAAGAACAUGCCUGCUCCUCUGCCAGGUCAUAAUUUUCCCUCUACCUUCAUUGGUUGGAUUGAUCUGUACGAUGAUACGUACAACCUACCAUGUGUUUGUAAAAUUAACAUUGCACGUAAUCCAGUUUUUUGUUUGGUUAUCUAGAACAUCCUCUUUGCUUUGUGAUACGAUGAAUAGCCAUGCUUAUCAAAUUUAGUAGAGAAUAGUUCUACUAGCAUCCUACUGCCCCAUCAUACUACAUGAAAAAUUCCCUAACCAGGAUAAUAAUUCAGUAUGGCAUGUAAUUUAUAUUUUUCUUUUUGCUUCCCAAGUUUUAGUUUUCUUUUCUUUUUCACCACUAAGGCAUCAUGAAGUUUUCCUAAUUUAUGUGCCGAUCUACAUGAUUAAGUAGUAUAUGUUUGCUAUACAUAUGAUCAAAAUCUUCAAAAUAAACUUGGAAUGCUGGCUUAAAUGUUGCUUAUUUCUAUAUGUUAAAGCUCCACGGCUCCGCCGCAAGCCAUUGGUCCACGACAGCAAAAAAUCAAUGGUCCACGCGAUUUACAUCGAACGGUUGGAGGCGCUGCUUCCAUCACGCAGGCUUUCUUGUUUGCUCGAAUCUUCUCCGGUCCUCCCGUCCUCUCUCCUUCCCUGUCCCCCGAGCCUUAUCCUCUCUUUUUGCAUUUCCUCUUUCUCCUUCCGUCUUCUCCCUUUCACUCCCUCUCAUGGCGAGCUCCUUCCGUCCGCCUGCCCUCUACCCCCGCGACCUCCAUUCCUUGGCGAGCUCCGUCCGUCCUGGCAUCCACGCACGGCUCCUGCCAUUCUUCCCUAACAGUCGCCGUUGAAUGUGGCUCAGAUCUUGCUCCAUCCGUCCAUGCGCCUUGGUCCUGCAAUGUGGUCAUUGAUGAUGGCCAUCCGCAGCUGCAAUUAAUCUGCUCAUGUCUAGGUUCCUGUGGCUGCUGUGCUAAUUCAUAUACCUUCUUAGACAGGGCCAGUUGUUAUCUACAGACGUAAACAGUGGGAACUCAUCUGCCUCAACGAGAGGGGGGGGGGGGGGGGCACUACUACCUCGCUCAUACCUUCUACAUCAACUCCAUCAUUACUGCCCUAGGAAGGAGAGCUUGAACACCUGCAUCAUCACAAAUACACCAUGUUCAUAAAUGGACCUUCUCCAAUUGCCCAAACGAAUCCUAACAUUACGCAGACUCAGAUCGUGAGCCAAAAGAACUGGUAGUUUACUCCAACGGUCUUCCAGCAGCUGACGUGAUCUACACCCAUGAAGAUGCCCGAUCAAGAUGGUUGGAAGCGAAACAUUGCAAUAUGAAAGAGAAACAUUGCAACAUGAGGAAGAUUUUAUCUCGGAGAUGUAGGCAAUGGUGCUGCUUCUGAAGCUCAUCGUCAACAUGGUCAUGGGAAGGUGACGCAAAAUCAUUCACAUUCUUCAGCUUUGCAAUAAAAUGAUUUAGCGCAUAUCAUGCUAAUUACACAUUUGAUUAUAACUAUCAACUCUGAUUUUGACUUGCUUACCUACAUCUCCUUUCUUAGUCCUUUUUCAUGCCCAGGGAGAUAUUAAUUAUGGUCCUAAAUUAAAAUUAGAAAGUCCCUUCUUCAGCUAAAGCUUAUUGUGGUUUGUAUUUCCCUUUUCCUCAUUGUUAUUUAAAUUCUGAAUACCCUACUAGGUUAAAGCUUUUUUCUGAGCCUCAGACUUCAGAAUUACAAAGCUAUUUUCCAUGGCAAUACUGCUUGUGGGUUCAUAGUCUUCAGUCUUGACCUCCCUAGCAACAUCAAAUUUCCCCUUAAACUACUGAUACACAUUAUUGUAACAACUACUUAACUGAUUCUGUUUUCCCCUUUUUAGGGCAUGAAAACCUUUAUCAGAUAGAAGAUCCUGCGGUAUGAUUUUAUUUCAACCCGAAUUUUCCGCGGCAUGCAGAUAGAAGAUCUCUGCCUAGCUGCAUAUGGGGAUUUGAUUUUUGUUUCAGUAUCAGAUCGCUUCUAUAAUGCUGGAUGGGUGCCAGUAUUAUGCUGGGUUGAGUUUGUGCCCCCAUCCCCCUUCCAGUGGAAAUUUUGCUGCUGCUGUAUUUAACAUCCUAAGGUUAUUUUGACUUUUUUCUUAUAUGUUGCUCAUGUAGGUCAAGUACCUCGGAGAAGAAGGUGAAAGCACCCCUGCUGCUGGUGUUACAUUUAUUUGCUCACCCUGGGAGAUGCUGAGAAUGCUGGAGUGAUUGUGAACCCAAAGGGAGAGAUGAAAGAAGCAAAGCAUAGGAAAAGAAUGCCAUUCUACUGUAUUUGGGGUGACUUCACGGUGACCUGCUCAUCCUUCACGUACAACUCUGAACUGUACCUGUCUGCCUCCGAUUUUGACCGCCCCGUCUUCUUUUCCCAUCAAGGCUGCUGGAUUGGCGACUGCUGCAGGGGUUGGAAUGGGUGCUGUUGGUGCAGUGGGGGUCCCUCGCCGCCUGCCUCGUUUGCGUCGUGCGCGUCGCAGAUUCUUACUUCGGCUUCUCCCUUUCACAUUUGCCCCUGUGAACGGCUGGUUGAAGCGUUUGUGCGCAAAGAAGUCAUUUCGCAUGUAUUAUUAUCAUGGCCUUCUAUGUUGCUUUAAAAUUAUUUUCUUAUGGACUGUGGUGGUCUCAUUUGCUGCUCAUCAGAGUCUUCCAGUAAGCAUGUAUCCUUUGGCGAGGAAAAAAAUAUGUACAUAUAUAAUGAACUGAAAAAUAUACUUGCAUCCUCCCA
RNA transcript from Panicum virgatum (switchgrass), 3207 nucleotides. RefSeq lists it as uncharacterized. The transcript has 12 exons. The record is from RefSeq and is a predicted model, not a curated record. Lineage: Eukaryota; Viridiplantae; Streptophyta; Magnoliopsida; Poales; Poaceae.